CCUACGUGCGGCAACAGUGAGGAAUAUUGGUCAAUGGGCGCGAGCCUGAACCAGCCAAGUAGCGUGAAGGAUGACUGCCCUACGGGUUGUAAACUUCUUUUAUAAAGGAAUAAAGUGAGGCACGUGUGCCUUUUUGUAUGUACUUUAUGAAUAAGGAUCGGCUAACUCCGUGCCAGCAGCCGCGGUAAUACGGAGGAUCCGAGCGUUAUCCGGAUUUAUUGGGUUUAAAGGGAGCGUAGAUGGGUUGUUAAGUCAGUUGUGAAAGUUUGCGGCUCAACCGUAAAAUUGCAAUUGAUACUGGCAGUCUUGAGUACAGUUGAGGUAGGCGGAAUUCGUGGUGUAGCGGUGAAAUGCUUAGAUAUCACGAAGAACUCCGAUUGCGAAGGCAGCUUACUAAACUGCCACUGACAUUGAUGCUCGAAAGUGUGGGUAUCAAACAGGAUUAGAUACCCUUGUAGUC
Molecule: ribosomal RNA, 460 nt
Filed under: uncultured bacterium
Lineage: Bacteria
Description: partial 16S ribosomal RNA
Rfam family: Bacterial small subunit ribosomal RNA
Source: RNAcentral